AGAGUUUGAUCCUGGCUCAGAGCGAACGCUGGCGGCAUGCUUAACACAUGCAAGUCUCACGGGCAGCAAUGUCAGUGGCGGACGGGUGAGUAACGCGUAGGAAUCUGUCUCCGGGUGGGGGAUAACUGCGGGAAACUACAGCUAAUACCGCAUGAUACCUGAGGGUCAAAGGCGCAAGUCGCCUGGAGAGGAGCCUGCGUACGAUUAGCUAGUUGGUGGGGUAAUGGCCUACCAAGGCUACGAUCCAUAGCUGGUCUGAGAGGAUGAUCAGCCACACUGGGACUGAGACACGGCCCAGACUCCUACGGGAGGCAGCAGUAGGGAAUCUUGCGCAAUGGGCGAAAGCCUGACGCAGCCAUGCCGCGUGAAUGAUGAAGGUCUUAGGAUUGUAAAAUUCUUUCACCGGGGAAGAUAAUGACGGUACCCGGAGAAGAAGCCCCGGCUAACUUCGUGCCAGCAGCCGCGGUAAUAA
RNAcentral lists this ribosomal RNA (472 nucleotides) under uncultured bacterium. Its description in RNAcentral is "bacterial SSU rRNA". It matches the Rfam family "Bacterial small subunit ribosomal RNA", at positions 8 to 526 of the family's 1533-position model. The record is from RNAcentral.